AUUGAACGCUGGCGGCAUGCCUUACACAUGCAAGUCGAACGGAUCAGAGGAGCUUGCUCUUCUGGUUAGUGGCGAACGGGUGAGUAAUGCAUCGGAACGUACCCAGUAGUGGGGGAUAACGUAGCGAAAGUUACGCUAAUACCGCAUACGACCUGAGGGUGAAAGCAGGGGAUCGCAAGACCUUGCGCUAUUGGAGCGGCCGAUGUCGGAUUAGCUAGUUGGUAGGGUAAAAGCCUACCAAGGCGACGAUCCGUAGCUGGUCUGAGAGGACGACCAGCCACACGGGGACGGAGACACGGCCCAGACUCCUACGGGAGGCAGCAGUGGGGAAUUUUGGACAAUGGGGGAAACCCUGAUCCAGCCAUGCCGCGUGAGUGAAGAAGGCCUUCGGGUUGUAAAGCUCUUUCAGACGGAAAGAAAUCUUCCGGGCUAAUACCUCGGGAGGAUGACGGUACCGUAAGAAGAAGCACCGGCUAACUACGUGCCAGCCGCCGCCGUAA
This 500-nucleotide ribosomal RNA is filed under the name uncultured bacterium. RNAcentral's name for it is "partial 16S ribosomal RNA". It matches the Rfam family "Bacterial small subunit ribosomal RNA", at positions 30 to 523 of the family's 1533-position model. The record is from RNAcentral.